CCUACGGGUGGCAGCAGUGGGGAAUAUUGGACAAUGGGCGCAAGCCUGAUCCAGCAAUGCCGCGUGGGUGAAGAAGGUCUUCGGAUUGUAAAGCCCUUUCGGCGGGGACGAUGAUGACGGUACCCGCAGAAGAAGCCCCGGCUAACUUCGUGCCAGCAGCCGCGGUAAUACGAAGGGGGCUAGCGUUGCUCGGAAUCACUGGGCGUAAAGGGCGCGUAGGCGGCUCUGUUAGUCAGGCGUGAAAUUCCUGGGCUCAACCUGGGGACUGCGCUUGAUACGGCGGGGCUUGAGGAUGGAAGAGGCUCGUGGAAUUCCCAGUGUAGAGGUGAAAUUCGUAGAUAUUGGGAAGAACACCGGUGGCGAAGGCGGCGAGCUGGUCCAUUACUGACGCUGAGGCGCGACAGCGUGGGGAGCAAACAGGAUUAGAUACCCCUGUAGUC
Molecule: ribosomal RNA, 440 nt
Filed under: uncultured bacterium
Lineage: Bacteria
Description: bacterial SSU rRNA
Rfam family: Bacterial small subunit ribosomal RNA
Source: RNAcentral